UCGUAUAUAUGUGUGUGU
This 18-nucleotide microRNA is filed under the name Corchorus olitorius. RNAcentral's name for it is "cin-miR-4194-". The record is from RNAcentral. Lineage: Eukaryota; Viridiplantae; Streptophyta; Magnoliopsida; Malvales; Malvaceae.